GAUUCCGCAAGUAGUGGCGAGCGAACGCGGAAGAGCCCAAACCGGUGCCGUUUCGGCGGGGCCGGGGUAGAAGGACCGACAGAAGGACAAAGGAAGCAUAGCCGAACAGUAUUGGAAAAUACGAUCAGAGACGGUGAUAAUCCGGUAGGCGAAAUGCGGAGCUUGACAGUCGGUAUCCUGAGUAGUGCAGGACACGAGAAAUCCGGUACGAAUCAGCGGGGACCAUCCCGUAAGGCUAAAUACUCCCGAGAGACCGAUAGCGCACCAGUACUGUGAAGGAAAGGUGAAAAGAACCUCGAACAGAGGAGUGAAAAAGACCCUGAAACCAUUCGCCUACAAGCGGUCGGAGCCACUACGUGUGGUGACGGCGUGCCUUUUGCAUAAUGAACCUACGAGUUACCCAUACCGGCCAGAUUAAGCGAUUCAGUCGCGGAGUCGAAGCGAAAGCGAGUCCUAACAAGGCGGAUAGUCGGUAUGAGUAGACGCGAAACCAAGUGAUCUACCCAUGAGCAGGUUGAAGGUUAGGUAACACUAACUGGAGGACCGCACCGGUAAACGUUGAAAAGUUUUCGGAUGACUUGUGGGUAGGAGUGAAAGGCCAAUCAAACUUGGAGAUAGCUCGUACUCCCCGAAAUGCAUUUAGGUGCAGCCUCGGGCCAGUAUGUAAUAGAGGUAGAGCCACUGAUAAGUCGCGAGGGUUUCAACGCCUAUCAAGACUUGACAAACUCCGAAUACUAUUACAGGUACCCCGGGAGUGAGGGCAUGGGUGCUAAGGUCCAUGUCCGAGAGGGAAAGAACCCAGACCAUCAGCUAAGGUCCCGAAAUAUAUGCUAAGUUGAAGAUAAAACGAAGUAGAGACCCUGAGACAGCUAGGAUGUUGGCUUGGAAGCAGCCAUUCAUUUAAAGAGUGCGUAACAGCUCACUAGUCGAGGGACUCCGCAUGGAUAAUAAUCGGGCAUAAGCAUAUUACCGAAGCUAUGGAAUAGAAUUAUUGGUAGGGGAGCAUUCCAGUCGCCGUCGAAGAUAUACCUUGAGGUAUGUUGGAGGCCCUGGAAAAGCAAAUGUAGGUAUAAGUAACGAUAAAGGGGGCGAGAAACCCCCUCGCCGUAAGACCAAGGAUUCCUGAUCAACGCUAAUCGGAUCAGGGUAAGUCGGGCCCUAAGGAUCAUCCGAAAGGAGAAGCCGAUGGAAGAAACGGUUAAUAUUCCGUUACUACGAUAAAGAGUGACGGGGAGACGGAGAAGUGACACAUCCGCCUGCUGACGGAAUAGCAGGUUAAAGAGUGUAGAUAAUGGCUGGAUAGGCAAAUCCGUUCGGCCAGUCGAACUUGAGAGUACCGAGCGUCCUCGGACAAUCGGAUAGCGAUGGUAAACAGGCUUCCAAGAAAAUCCUCUAAACAUAUUUUUAUCGUACCCGUACCGCAAACGGACACACGUGGUCGAGUAGAACAUACUAAGGCGCUCGAGAGAUUCACGGUUAAGGAACUAGGCAAAUUGACCCUGUAACUUCGGGAAAAAGGGUCCCCGCUGCAAGGCGGGGCGCAGAGAAUAGGUCCAGGCAACUGUUUAACAAAAACACAGGGCUGUGCAAAAUUUCAAGAUGACGUAUACAGCCUGACACCUGCCCGGUGCUGGAAGGUUAAGAGGAGAAGUCAUUCGCAAGAAGAAGCUUUGAAUUGAAGCCCCAGUAAACGGCGGCCGUAACUAUAACGGUCCUAAGGUAGCGAAAUUCCUUGUCGGGUAAGUUCCGACCUGCACGAAUGGUGUAAUGAUCCGGACACUGUCUCAACCGUGAGCUCGGUGAAAUUGUAGUAUCGGUGAAGAUGCCGAUUACCCGCAACGGGACGAAAAGACCCCGUGAACC
RNAcentral lists this ribosomal RNA (1863 nucleotides) under gut metagenome. Its description in RNAcentral is "bacterial LSU rRNA". It matches the Rfam family "Bacterial large subunit ribosomal RNA", at positions 233 to 2099 of the family's 2925-position model. The record is from RNAcentral.